UACGGGGGGGGCAAGCGUUGUUCGGAAUUACUGGGCGUAAAGCGUGCGCAGGCGGUUGGUUAAGUCUGAUGUGAAAGCCCCGGGCUCAACCUGGGAAUGGCAUUGGAAACUGGCUAGCUGGAGUGUGGCAGAGGGGGGUGGAAUUCCGCGUGUAGCAGUGAAAUGCGUAGAGAUGCGGAGGAACACCGAUGGCGAAGGCAGCCCCCUGGGCCAACACUGACGCUCAGGCACGAAAGCGUGGGGAGCAAACAGG
RNAcentral lists this ribosomal RNA (253 nucleotides) under uncultured bacterium. RNAcentral describes it as "partial 16S ribosomal RNA". It matches the Rfam family "Bacterial small subunit ribosomal RNA", at positions 524 to 776 of the family's 1533-position model. The record is from RNAcentral.